ACUCUUACUAAAGCCGAACAUCUUCAAGGCUGUUAUACGCAACCGAAGACAGGAAGUUCAACCACGAAAGUGGCUUUAUCUAAUCUGAACCCACGAAAGCUAAGAAACAAACUGGGAUUAGAUACCCCACUAUGCCUAGCCCUAAACAUUGAUAGUACUAUACACCCACUAUCCGCCCGGGAACUACGAGCAAUAGCUUAAAACCCAAAGGACUUGGCGGUGCUUUAGAUCCACCUAGAGGAGCCUGUUCUAGAACCGAUAACCCCCGUUCAACCUCACCCUUCCUUGUUUAUCCCGCCUAUAUACCGCCGUCGUCAGCUUACCCUGUGAGGGACUAAUAGUAAGCAAAACUGGUACAACCUAAAACGUCAGGUCGAGGUGUAGCGUAUGGAGGGGGAAGAAAUGGGCUACAUUCGCUACUACAGCGAACACGAAUAGUGUACUGAAACAUACACUUGAAGGAGGAUUUAGCAGUAAGCAGGAAAUAGAGCGUCCCGCUGAAACUGGCCCUGAAGCGCGCACACACCGCCCGUCACUCUCCCCAAAAGCCCCAGCCAGUUAAUUAAAACCUAAUAAUCAAAGAGGGGAGGCAAGUCGUAA
RNAcentral lists this ribosomal RNA (600 nucleotides) under Cottunculus thomsonii (pallid sculpin). RNAcentral's name for it is "partial 12S ribosomal RNA". It matches the Rfam family "Bacterial small subunit ribosomal RNA", at positions 638 to 1491 of the family's 1533-position model. The record is from RNAcentral. Lineage: Eukaryota; Metazoa; Chordata; Actinopteri; Perciformes; Psychrolutidae.